Molecule: long non-coding RNA, 491 nt
Filed under: Mustela putorius furo (domestic ferret)
Lineage: Eukaryota; Metazoa; Chordata; Mammalia; Carnivora; Mustelidae
Description: lncRNA (ENSMPUG00000024629.1)
Source: RNAcentral
AAAGAACUGGGGUGUUUGACCUAAUUUUUAUUUAUUUAUUAUGCGUUCACUGAUUACAGGGAUAUUUGCUAAGCACCUACUAUGUCUAAGUAAUGGGAGGCAAGGAAGAAUCAGAAAUGAAUCCUAUCAUCCUGGAGGAGAGGUUGCUAAUGGGCAGUGGGAGAGUGAGGAGAAACACUAUCCCUCUCUCUGGGGCUGACCUCACUUUGCACCAGUGUUUUGAUGUCCCAAGGGGAGCUUGAGAAACAGCACCUGGAAGUUUCAAAGGGCGAUGUUGCCCUUCAAGUUCGCAUUGAAUGAAGAGGAACUCUGACUCCGCCCCGACGUCUUCUUGAUGCCUCAGGACAUGGCAGCCCUCAAAGCCUGUAGUUCUUCCUUCUGGGUAUCAUUAGGUACUAGAGGGGACAAUUUGAUCUUUUUUAUUUUGCCUCCCUCACCCUGGCAACCCCUCCUUGCUCACAUUCAGAAUUUUAGAACAAAGUGAAUAAAGC